UUGACAAAGAUAUGAUGGACUAUUUGGUGAGAUACAUAAUAGGCAAGCCUUUUCCACGUAAACAUAACGUUAUAUCAUGGUUGAGUUGUUUAUUCAAUAGGUAGAGCUGAUUAAUUCAAAUAGUAGUUAGAAUUUCAAUAAUUAGUUAGAAGGCUUUUGGACGAGUAGAAGCAACCACUGAGAUUACAAGUAACUAAAUGGGCUGUAAGGGGCUAUAUUAUGCCAUGUCAUCAUACUCCACCUUAACUCAAGUCACGGUCAAAAUCAACUUCCAGGAGAGAGAAGAGGCAUUGAUCAAAUUGGUUGGAGAUCUAUCCAUAGCGAUUCACAAUUUUAGUUUAUUUUUCUUUCGUUACCUGUAAUUUUAGUGAAAUUUCAUUAAGUUUGAAUAUUAAAAAUUGCACCAAAAAACUUAUUGUCCCGAGGUUGUUGGAUUUCAUUGAGUUUAGUUGAAUUUCAUGGAGUUUUAGUUCCAUAAUUGAGGUCAGCUCUGGACAAUUGAUAUCAGAGCCACGAUUUAUGCAACCUGUGGUUGUAGACAUAGUUGAAGGGACUCGUUCUAAAGUUGUAGAGGAUCGGGUAGCUCGAUAUGAGAAAUUUUUGGCUGAGCUAGUGAACCAGCAAUAGGAGGUUUGUAACAAUCAAAUAGGGAUACAAGGAUCAAUGGAACUUAUUUUGGAACAAUUGAUGAACUUAGAAAGGGCACUGACUCGGAGAAAUGGAGAUCAACUACUCGGUGAUGGAUUGCUUCCUAUUCCUGGCAGGAAAUAGAAAUAACAGGGGAAACAUGGUUUCGAUACCUUCUCUUAAAUUGAAACUACCUAGCUUUGAUGGAAAGGAGCCUAAGGUAUGGAUUCAAAAAUUUGAGAGAUUUCAUUUUGUAUGAAACUAUUAAACAACGAAAAGUAGAAGCAACAAUUCUAUAUUUAAAUGGAGUUGCAAAAAUUUGGUAUCACUCGUUAGUAAUGAGUAGAGGAGUGACAGGAUGGGCUAAAUUUAAGAAGGAACUAUGAAGCAGGUUUAGUUUGGAACCACCGAAAGAUGUAGUAUAAGAGUUCAAUAAACUCUCUUAAACAAGAACUAUAGAUGCGUUGUUAGUGGAGUUUGAAGAAUUGAAAGCCCAAUUAUUCAUGAGAAAUCCUAAUUUGAAUGAGUCUCAUUUUUUAUCUAGCUUUGUGGGAGCAUUUAAAGAAGAGAUUACGUAUGGGGUUAAACUGUUUAAACCUACUACUCUUAAGCUUGCAGUAUAACAAGCUAGGCUUCAAUAGAAGGCUAUUGAAGUAUUGUAAAAGAAGAACAAAAUGAUCCUACAAAAACCUUGUUGUGAUGGGAGGGACUCAAACGAGUACUAUGAAACCUAAAACUACUGGUAAUCCACCUGGUAAAAUAGUUCAUUCAGAUUAACUCAUAAAGUGUAUGAGUAUGGAAGGUUAAUCACCUAUGUUUUGUGUGUGAAGAUAAAUUUAUAUCAGGUCACAUAUGUAAGAAGAAGCAACUCAAUUGUUUAGUGGGUGAGGCUGAACCUAUGAUGGAGGUUAAUGAAGAUACUUAUGAAUUGAUAUUAGAAGGGGAGAUUGAGCAUGAAGUCCAAGAAGUUGUGUGCUUAAAUGCAUUAAAAGGGGGCAACAGAGGUAUCAAUUCUACACUAGUGAAGGGAAUUGUAAAGAACAGAAACUUGGCUGUGCUUGUGGAUUCUAGGAGCACCCAUAGUUUUAUUGAUGAGCAUACUAUGAGGGAAAGUGGUAACUAUUUUAGUUAUUUCUCUACAAUUAGAGUCACUGUAGCUGAUGGAAACUAUGUAAUGUGUAAAUCUAACAGUAAGGGGUUCACUUGGAAGAUGUAGGGAAAAAUAUUUCAAAAAGACUUGCUCAUGAUUCCUCAAGGAGUUUGUGAUAUAGUGCUGGGUAAUGACUAGAUGAAGAAAAAUAAUCCCACCAAGUUUGAUCAUGAAAAGAAUAGUGUAAUGAUUGGAAGGAAAAACAACAAGGUGGUUUUGUAGGGCGUUGCUAAAAAGGGUAGUCUGAGCAUGAUCUCUGGGAGUUUAAUGAGAAAGGUUCUUAAGAAAAGACAGGCCAUCAUGGAUCACUUAUUUUUAGUGCAAGCUAGUGUCUGCAGUGAUCAAACAGCAAUAUAUGAUCAGAUACAAUAGUGUCUGCAACGAUUAAGUAGUAAUAGAUGAUUAAAUUCAACAGGUGUUAGUGUAGUAUGCAGAGGUUUUCAGUGAACUAAAGUCCUUACCCCUUGUGAGAUCAUUAGAUCAUGCUAUACCCCUCAAACCUGGAGAAACACCAGUCAGUUUGAGACCUUACCGGUAUAGGAGAGCAAGUCAAAGAAAUGCUAGAUCAUGGCAUUAUUAAACAGAGUCAGUCCCCUUUUUCCUCUCUAGCUCUACUAGUCAAGAAGAAUGACAACACUUGGAGGCUUUGUGGAGACUACAAAGGAUUAAAUAAAAUCACCAUUACAAGUAUCCUAUUCCAAUUGUAGAUGAUUUACUAGAUGAGCUGCAUGGUUCAAUUAUUUUUUCAAAGAUGGAUCUCCGGGCUGGAGAUCAUUAGAUAAGUAUAAAGAUAGAUAAUGUGCACAAGACUGCUUUUAGAACUCAUGAAGGCCACUAUGAAUUCAAGGUCAUGUUAUUUGGGCUGACCAAUACACCAAUAAUAUUUCAAGCUUUAAUGAAUCAGGUUUUCCAACCUUACCUUAUAAAAUUUGUAUUAGUUUUCUUUGAUGAUAUAUUAGUGUACAAAUUAUUAGUUGAGGACCAUAUUAAUCAUAUUAAGGUUGUAUUUGCUACCUUAAGAUAGCAUCCAUUAUUUUCAAAAAAGUCUAAGUGCUCAUUUGGUCAACCCAAAGUGGAGUAUUUAGGUCAUUUUAUAAACUAGGAUGGGGUGUCCACUGAUUCCACUAAGAUACAAGUUAUGGUUGAAUGGCCUACUCCCAGUUCAAUUAGAGCACUUAGGAGAUUUCUAGGGUUGACGGGAUAUUAUAAAAAGUAUGUUUCAAACUAUGGUACACUAUGCAAAUCCUUGACAGACUCAUUGAAGAAGGAUUCUUUUAAGUUGAACGAGGAUGCUGACAAGGCUUUUGUUGAUAUCAAGGUUGCAAUGUCCACUACACCUAUAUUAGCUCUAUCAAAUUAUUCUAAACAAUCCAUAGUAAAAAUUUAUAUAAGUCACUAUGGUAUAUGGGCAAUUUUAAUGCAAGAUGAUAGACCUAUUACCUAUUUCAGUAAAUACCUCAUCAGCACAGAGGUAAGUCAAUUUAUGAAAAGGAGUACAUGGAUCUCUUGAAUAUAGUGAAUAAGUUGAGAUACUACCUGUAGUUCAAGCAUUUUGUGGUCAGAACUGGCCACUAAAUCUUAAAAUAUCUGUUCAAACAAAAGGUGACUUCAGCUUUACAACAAAAAGGUUUCACUAAACUCUUGGGGCUAGACUAUAAAGUUUAAUACAUGAAGGGCGCAGAGAAUAGAGUUGUUGAUUCUCUAUCAAGGCAGCAUGAGAAACUUGGAGAUUAUACUAUCCAAACUUCUAGAUAUGUUUUGACAAUGGGUGUUACGAUUCCUAGGUGGAUGCAAGAGGUAGGUAUUAGCUAUACAUAUAAAGCUCUUGCUCAAGAGCUCAUGGUUUAAUUAUCUAUAGAUUUACAAGGACCUAAUAUUUGGGAUCUUAACUCUAGUGUUUUGAGAAUGAUAGGGAAGAUCUAUGUAGGGAGUAUUGGAGAAUUAAGACAACAAUUAAUCUCAACCUUUCAUGUUUCUCCUAUGGGAGGUCACUCUGGUCAGUUAGUCAUAUUCAAUAGAUUAGCUCUACUAUUUUAUUGGUCAAACAUAAAGAAAAUGGUGGUGCAACAUAAUGAGAGAUGUGAUAUAUUCACAGGAAUAAGGAUUAAAAUUUAGCAUACCUAGGGCUACUACAACCUCUAUCCAACCCUAACCAAACUUAGAGUCACAUAAGUAUGGAUUUCAUUGAAUAAUUACCAAGAUCCAGGUCCAAAUAUGUAUUAUUAGUGGUGGUGGAUAGACUUUCCAAAUAUAUAUUUUAUUGCUCUUGCACACUAUUUUACUGUAGCUAUUGUAGCUCAGAAAUUCUAGAAAAAGGUACAUUGCUUACAUAGCAUUCCUAAGUCCAUUGUUACUAAUAGGGACAAGGUUUUUCAUAGUAGCUUCCUACAAUCUUUCUUCAAAUUAGUGGGCAAUGAACUACAUUAUAGCAUUGCUAUCUCCCUCAAAGUGAUGGCCAGACUGAAAGAGUGAAUAAGUGUAUUGAGAAUUACCUAAGGUGUAUGACUUUUAGCAGACCUACUUAGUGGAAAUAAUGGCUUCCUUCUGCACAAUGAUGGUAUCACACCAACUUUCAUAUAGGUUUAUUAUGUACUCCCUUUUAGUCUCUUUAUGUAUAUUCACCACCACAACUAUCUCUUGGACCUUUUCUUGAAACUGUUGUUUCGCAUCUAGGAUACAAUUUUGCAGAGACAACAAACUAGUUAUUAAAGAACAACUUGCAUUGAGAGAAUGAAGUUUUAUGCUGACAGGAGAAGAUAUAACAAAGUGUUUCAGGUAGGUGACAUGGUUUAUCUCAAACUUCAACAUUAUUGGCAGACUUCUGUUUCCUUGAGAAAAAAUAAAGUUAAGUUCCAAAUGGAAUACAAGAUAUACUUUAGAAGUGGGUGGAUUACAAAUUAGCUUUUCCACCCACUUCUAAAGUAUAUCUUGUAUUCUAUGUGUCCCUUUUGAAGAAAAAGAUAGGUGACAAACAUAUAGCUCAAACUAUUCUACCUAUAACUGGUGAGAAUGGACAAUUUUGGUGUAACUUGUUUCUAUCCUACAGAGAAAAAUGGUGAAGAAUAAUAAUAUGGCUAAGGUGAAAGUUCUUAUUCAGUGGUCAAACCUCCCCUCGAGGAUGCAACUUGGGAAAAUUAUGACUUUAUAAGAGCAGAAUUUCGUGACUUUAUUAUCAAUCCUUAAGGACAAUAAUAUAUUUGGGUGGGGGGUAUUGUCAUAGUUGAGUUGUUUAUUUGAUAAGUAGAGAUGAUUAAUUCAAUUAGUAGUUAGAAUUUCAAUAAUUGGUUAGAAGGAUUUUGGGAGAGUGGAAGCAACGGCAGAGAUUAGAAGUAAUAAAAUAAAGUGCAAGGGCCCAAAUUAUGCCAUGUCAGCAAACUCCACCUCAGCUUAAGUCCCGGUAAAAAUAAACUUCCAGGAGAGAGAAGAGCCAUUGAUCAAAUUGGUAUUUCCUCAUGCUCUCUUUUCUAACAAAAAAUCCUUCAAACUUUGCUCACUUCUCUUCUUAUUCUCCUUCUAAUUCUCUUAUAUUAUUUACAAGUUGGAGCUCUAUCCAUGGUGAUUCACAAUGCAGUUUAUUUUUCUUUCAUUACCUGCAAUUUUAGUUAAAUUCCAUUAAGUUUGUAUAUUGAAAAUUUCCCCAAAAACUUCUUGUCCUGAGAUUGUUAAUUUUAUUUAGUUUAAUGGGAUUUUGUUGAUUUAAGUUACAUAAUUGAGGUCAGGUUAUGACACGUUACAGAAGUGGAUGAUGUUUACGAAAUCAGAGUGCUUACCCCAGUGCAAAUAUUUGAAUCUAUGAAAGGGGCGAAGAAGAUUACAUGCUAUUUGAUCACUUUUCAGAAGGAAAAGGUGAGGAAAUUUUAUAGUAAAGUUGCUCCAGGGAUUUGGAAACCUAUAGGCAAAGUAAAACCAAUUUUUGAUGGUAAGAAGAGACACAUGGGCAACGUCAAAAUUUCCUAGUACUACUACGUUGGUAGAGACAAGUCGUCAUUGAGAAAGUGUAAGUGGCAUAUGAGAGUAUAUUAUCUCACUGAUAAUUAUCUUCAGAAAAAACAAGUUGUGAUAAAAGAUGUCCUAUUUACCAUGAUGAUCAAUGCCAAGGUACAAUAGCUAAUAAUGACAAUGAAUAGAAAUCUGAUGACAUGAAGAUUAUUCAAUCUCAACAAGGUCUGAUUUCUCAUAAUGAUGUUGUAUCUUACCAAGGCAUAUCUGUUAUGAAGCAGACGAUUCAAUCUUUACAAGUACUUCAACUUCAAUACUCAUAGUGAUUUUUAAUAGUUGUCUAUGUUAUGGCCACUAUGAAGAAUAGUAAAAACAAAAAGAGAUUAGAACCUAUAUGGAUGGGCUUAUAACUUGGUGACUUUUUCAACUAUGUAGUAGUCAUGCAAAAAUAUUGUUGUAUGAUUUGCUUUUGUGAUGAUAACAGAUAAUGAAGGAAUUUGUAUAUCUAGUUUUUCUGAACUCAA
This is a long non-coding RNA of Capsicum annuum, 6240 nucleotides long. RefSeq lists it as uncharacterized. NCBI's taxonomy places the organism in Eukaryota, Viridiplantae, Streptophyta, Magnoliopsida, Solanales, Solanaceae. The transcript has 2 exons. The record is from RefSeq and is a predicted model, not a curated record.